GAUGAACGCUGGCGGCGUGCUUAACACAUGCAAGUCGAACGGAAAGGCUCCUGCUUGCAGGGGUACUCGAGUGGCGAACGGGUGAGUAACACGUGGGCGAUCUGCCCUGCACUUCGGGAUAAGCCUGGGAAACUGGGUCUAAUACCGGAUAGGACGAUGGUUUGGAUGCCAUUGUGGAAAGUUUUUCGGUGUGGGAUGAGCUCGCGGCCUAUCAGCUUGUUGGUGGGGUAAUGGCCUACCAAGGCGUCGACGGGUAGCCGGCCUGAGAGGGUGUACGGCCACAUUGGGACUGAGAUACGGCCCAGUCUCCUACGGGAGGCAGCAGUGGGGAAUAUUGCACAAUGGGCGCAAGCCUGAUGCAGCGACGCCGCGUGGGGGAUGACGGCCUUCGGGUUGUAAACUCCUUUCGCUAGGGACGAAGCGCAAGUGACGGUACCUGGAGAAGAAGCACCGGCUAACUACGUG
This 465-nucleotide ribosomal RNA is filed under the name uncultured bacterium. Its description in RNAcentral is "partial 16S ribosomal RNA". It matches the Rfam family "Bacterial small subunit ribosomal RNA", at positions 28 to 507 of the family's 1533-position model. The record is from RNAcentral.